Molecule: long non-coding RNA, 245 nt
Filed under: Chloebia gouldiae (Gouldian finch)
Lineage: Eukaryota; Metazoa; Chordata; Aves; Passeriformes; Passeridae
Description: Erythrura gouldiae (Gouldian finch) lncRNA (ENSEGOG00005011780.1)
Source: RNAcentral
CGCGGGAAGGCGCCCUGGCCCCGCCAGGCCUGCCCUGCCCUGCCUGCGGCGGCCGGGCUUGGCCUCUCUCAGGUGCGGCAGGAGGACGAGUGUGGUGAGGGAAGAGGCCAGUGACCCGCUCGAUGCCGCGCACAAGAGCAGGACCGGCUGAAUCGGGAAAGUCCCGCUUUGAGAUCAGGAUGCGCUGGGCUCCAGUCCUGACUAGUGACAGCUGUGGAAGACACUUGUAUGGUAAGAUGGUGUAG